GAUGAACGCUAGCGGCAGGCCUAACACAUGCAAGUCGAGGGAGAAGCCCUUUCGGGGGCAGAAACCGGCGCACGGGUGCGUAACGCGUAUGCAACCUACCUUUCACAGGGGGAUAGCCCGAAGAAAUUUGGAUUAAUACCCCAUAAUAUUAUUGGAUGGCAUCAUUUGAUAAUUAAAACUGCGGUGGUGAAAGAUGGGCAUGCGUCCUAUUAGCUAGUUGGAGUGGUAACGGCACCCCAAGGCUACGAUAGGUAGGGGUCCUGAGAGGGAGAUCCCCCACACUGGUACUGAGACAGGGACCAGACUCCUACGGGAGGCAGCAGUGAGGAAUAUUGGUCAAUGGUCGGAAGACUGAACCGGCCAUGCCGCGUGCAGGAAGAAUGCCUUAUGGGUUGUAAACUGCUUUUAUAUGGGAAGAAUAAGGCGUACGUGUACGUUGAUGACGGUACCAUAUGAAUAAGCAUCGGCUAACUCCGUG
Molecule: ribosomal RNA, 478 nt
Filed under: uncultured bacterium
Lineage: Bacteria
Description: partial 16S ribosomal RNA
Rfam family: Bacterial small subunit ribosomal RNA
Source: RNAcentral